Non-coding RNA from Amborella trichopoda, 2245 nucleotides. The record is from RefSeq and is a predicted model, not a curated record. Lineage: Eukaryota; Viridiplantae; Streptophyta; Magnoliopsida; Amborellales; Amborellaceae.
UCUGGUUAGCUAAAGCUCCUUAGCAGCCAAAAAUGGAGUUUGUAGAAGGAAAACUGAAAGAAGAGAAGUGGUUCGGUGAGAUGGUUUUCCCUAGGACCCUCCUCCCCUCUCAUGGAUGUGAAGAUGGAGCCACAACAUUUUCUUCCCCAUUUCACAAGCAUGAAGGGGAAGAAACUCGUUUGGCAGAGGCUGUUAAGGCAAAUCGCGUGUGGCUCGAUAAACAGUUGAGUCGUCAUGGUGCUAUACUCUUUCGAGGGUUUGAUGUGCGUCGUGCCGAGGACUUUCGAAGCGUGGUGGAGGCGUUUGGGUGGGAGGAGAUGGAUUACGGGAUUGGCGAUGAGACGCGCUCCAAGGUUAUUGAUCGUAUCUAUACUGCAAACGAGGCUCCGCCCGACGUGCUCAUCGAUUUCCACCAUGAGAUGUCAAAUCUAAGAGCCCUCUCUCUCUCUGCGAAGGCGUGUAUGCUUGCAUGUGUGUCUGAGAUGAUCACCUUGCCUCUCAAAGCGUACUCUCUCCCGGUCUUUAAAAAUAUGGACUCUCUUCAGACUAGCCACUUCCUAAGUCCAACCAUUUAAUGGGAAAAUUUCAUUACAGUCCCUCGCCUCAGGGUACUCACUGAGUUUUCUAGCGAAAAUUAUAGAUUGGACCUUAAGCUCAGAAGAAUCGGCCUUUUGGGCAAUUCCCUCCAAAAUGGUUAGGGCGAGCCAACUCAAGCAAAAUGGUUAGGGCGAGCCAACUCAAACGAUUCUAAGUUGGUUCAGCCAAUUUUUAAGGGAAAAGUGUUUUUUUUGUGAGGCACAGACUCACUAGCCCACUUCAUCUUUAAGGUGAACCUUCACACCUAGAGAUUUCUAUUCAAUAGAUAUAAUUUUUUCUUAAAAAAGUUAUUUUAAAUUUUAUUUUAUUUUUAUUUUUCAUAUUAAUGAUUAUCGUAGUCUGCAAAUUUAAGUUCAAGAUCUAUAUAAAACAUGAGCUAGAGGGAGCCUGCACGAGAAUAGUAUGACUCGGGGGACUCAUAAAAACUGGAUCCAUUUAUAAGUCUCUCGAAUACCAUUCCUUCUCCUUCCGAAAUAUCAAUCCUAUCCGCCCCAUUUAUUACAAAAGUAAAUAGAUGACACAAGAAGCUGGGUCAUAAAACUUUAUGAGGGUAAUUUAGGUAUUUUAAAAAUAUCGUUGUACUCAAUGGGACUGAUAAACUUAUUUGUUUUCGGUUUACUAAGGGUUCGUUUGAUAACGGGGAAGCGUCUUUUUAAAAGUUUAGAGCGUCUUAAUACUGUUUAAGUUAUGGAGUAGUAGACAGAGCUAUAGAAAUAUUGGGUAUUGGCGUAGGAGUACUUAAUUGUGGGGACGGAAUGCCUUUGAUAUCUAAUUGGGUUAAUUUAGAUAUCAAUUGGUUCAUUAGUGUUUUAUUAUCUUCUCCUAAAUGGAAUUUUGUUUUAUUAAGUUAUGGAGGUGGUUUGAAUAAAAAAGCUUUAGGAACAGGAGGGGUUACUCCCUUAGGUUGAGGAAUGAUCAGUCUUUCUAUCCUUUCUGCUUGUUUUCCUAAAAAUUGCAUGUAUAAGUUGGUAUAAUUUUUUUGCUCAAUAAUAUGUGGUAUUAAUUCAUGAUUUUUUAUCAUAUCCUUAGGUACAACCUUAUAAGGUGUUGCAAUAAUUUCAUAUAAAGAUUGUGGUGGUUCACCUUUUACUGGUGAGGUAUUAACUCCUUUGAGUAUAAUACUUUUGACAGGAGGAUGGAUAUUAGAGGUUGAGGACAAUGGCAAUCUGGACGACCAAGGGUCCAACGUGUUCCCCUAAGCGGCUCUUCCUGGCCUUGGCGGGGCUCUGCCGAAGUUAGGUUGCAACUCAGUUGAAUUUCUUGAGGAUGGGAGAGCUGAAUUUAUCUAUGGACCCUUGAACCCAAUACGGACUUUUCAAGGGGGGCGCAGGGUUUGGUUCUCCACCAUUGUAGGCUACACUGGCAAGCUUGAUGACAUGAGUUUAGGCUUUGGAGAUGGAGUUCCAUUUCCUGAUGAAGCCAUAAAAAACUACGGGAAGAUCAGGGAUGAGAACAAUGUGAAUAUUAGAUGGGAAAAAGGUGAUAUCUUGCUUGUUGACAACCUUGCUGUUCAGCAUGCUCGGAGGCCCGGGAAGCCUACUCGCAUCAUUUUAGCUUCAUUGUGCAAGUGAAUUCUACUCUCUCUGUGUAUAUGUGUGUGUAUGUACUCGGACUUUUGCUUUAUUGUGAAAGUGAACUUUAUAGUCUC